CAGCAGAUUCCUACCCCUAAGAUAAAAGUUCUUCAUUUUUCCUCAUGUUUUUCCUGAAAGGUUCACUGAGAGUGUGCUAUCACUAGGAUUUAUUGGACCUGUGAAAUGUUUGCUGUGAAGAUGACUUGCACCUGGACAUCUGUCUGAGGCAUCCUAGGCAUUGAUUAUUCUGUUAUAAAUGUGUGGUGCUGAACAGAGAUUAAGCCUUACCAGAGCACAGCUUCUCCCCCCAACAGAGAGGGGAUGAACAGGAAUUGCAAGCUUCAAAGAGGCAGGUCUAAUGCUGCCCUGACUGUUGAGGCUGGAGAAAUCAGCGGGUGAUCAAGGAAGCACUUAAAGGUGAUGGGCUGCUUCUUCAAAAAGCACUUGCAUAAAUAAACCUGCAGCACAGGGCAGAAGGGAAAUGAAGCUAGAAAUCUGGCUGAGUGCCUGCAGAUGCCAGGCCCAAGGCAGUGUUACUGCUAAGUGGGAACAGGAGGAAGCAAUUGUACGUUUUGCCUUCCUCUCUUCCCUUUGGAUAUGCAAGGGAAAACCAAUGAGCCCAUUCAAUAGAAAACCGGUGAACACUGGCAGCAAGAGGUAUUCCUUUCUCCCAGGAGAUCCCAAAUACUGCAAGGUCAGACUAAAGCUUAACUCUCCCUCCAGCCCUGCCUAUGUCAGAUGAGCUCCCACCUCCCCGUUUUUUUCCUGUCAAAGUCAUUGCUCCGGCUGUAGCACAUGAAGCACUUUACAGGAAGAUUAUUUCAACUUAAUUUUGCAUAUUCUUUAGAAAUCUGGAUGGUUCAGAUAGCAGAACAACACACCGAGGUCUCCAGCUGCAUGAAGGCAUCAACUCUUCCCAGCAGGCAGAAGCACAGAUAGGGCAAGGGCUCUUGGAACAUACGGAGACCAAAACUCUACAGAAAAUGAAAAACGCAUGGGCAAUAAGAAAUGAUUAGGGACAAUUUAAGUAUAUAUGACAACAAAGCUACUAGAACAAAAGCCAGCUGAAGGGAGAUUAUUAUAAUGAUUGUGGUGUGCAAGCAGAAGAGCAUGGAGAAGUAGGAGGUGCAAAGGACCAAGGGAACAUUAGGAUGACUGUACAAGCUGGCACCAUGCUGAAUGAAAAAGGGUACACUGUAAGUAACAAGAAUGAUUUAAGUAAAAACAAUAAAUGAAAGAUUUUCAGAAAAUCUGGAGUGGAAGAAAUCAAGUCAGAUUUGGAUGUCACCAGAUAUCACCAAAUUAAUAAAACAGGUAGAGCUGCUUUAAGUAUGCCAUUGAUUAGACCUGGCAUUGAUAUCUUACCAAUCAUAGGGCAGGAUUUCAGUUUUCUAACUUCCUAAAGUAUUUCCUUCAGGCUGUACAUGAUGCUGCAUUUAAAGAAGAAAAAGAGCAGGUUUUCUUUUUCCUUCUUUUUUUUUUUUUUUUCCGCCUCUUUUUUUGAGCUUUGAUGUAAGGUAAAAUCACUUCAUUUAGUUUGUCUCCCAUGGCUCCCUUCUAUAUGGCAUCAAAAGAUACUUCCAGAAGUGCUGAGGUUUAAUGAUCUGACACUGCUCCCACUGUUAAAAUUCCCAUUGACUUCAGGUUCUAAAUAAGCUAAUGAAUAGGGUGAAAAAUAAGCACAAGAUAUGUGAAAGUGAAGCUGUAACCAAUGGGUGUUUUCAUUUUGGUUCCAGUAGAAAAAGGUUUAAAAUAAAAAUGAAAGCCAGGUUUCCCCGUUCCUAGAUGAGUGCCUGGGCACUCAGACUCUCAGUCAUUUGGGAUGUGUUCUACUUAUUUGCUUUCUGCCAAUCAAGCAAGUAGAGAAGAAAACUUGAUUGCAGUUCAGGAGAGAAUAGGACAUUUCUGCAGUAACAAUACCAACAAAAAAUGCAGUGAUGAGCAAGCCACCUUCAGCAGCUCACUUUGUAUUUGUCUACCUCUGUUUGCAUGUGUCCUAGCAGACAUGAACACACCUUUAUGGUGCACAACACACACUGUCUAAGGCCUCUAAUCAAAAUAGCAUUUCGUCCCUCAGCACCUUUUGUAGGAUAAGUUCCUUUUCUUGCUGUCUUUGUGCCAUGAUAGA
Neopsephotus bourkii (Bourke's parrot) is the source of this 2050-nucleotide long non-coding RNA. RefSeq lists it as uncharacterized. Lineage: Eukaryota; Metazoa; Chordata; Aves; Psittaciformes; Psittacidae. The transcript has 3 exons. The record is from RefSeq and is a predicted model, not a curated record.